CCUAAAUGCCCUUCCCCUAUGAUGAGACUAAUGACUGCUUUUUAUGUCAUUCCAGAGACCUCAUCCAGUGGCUGAUGGAAGCAGAGGCAGACACCCACAGAUAUACACUGAACUGAACUCUGGAACUUAGUUGCAGAGUUGGAGGAAUGGAGAUCAAAGGGGUCGGUACCAGGCUGGUGAAACCUACAGAAACAGCUGGCCCGAACAAGGGGGAACACAUGGACCCCAGACUGCUGUCUGGGAGCUAAGACUGGCAGUGAUGUUGAAGAAUGACGGAACGGGAGGCCCUCGCCUCUCUCCUCAUCUUACUGGAUAAAUCCCACUCUGGUGCUGGAUUGUUGGUUUUGGAAAGACAUUUUCACCCAACUUCCCCAUCCUGGAAUUGAAGAAGGAAAUCAGAAGGCAGACUGUCAAGACCAGCAAACAUUUGCAACCAUGGAACCAUGUGACGUCCUCAGGAGACAAGGCCUGAGAAUAGCAUGAAUGGCUCUCCUUGUAGCAAAGCCCUGGAGACCCUGACCCACUUGGCAAGGACGUCACGUCUCUUUUCAAACAAGACCUCCUUCCUUUGAAAGGAAACCUUGGGCCCAUGUGUGUUUGGCAGGUGAUUAAAGCAAGCUCUGUUUACAGGUUUUUCUUUGACCCAGAAAAAGGGGAGAGAAAAAAAAAGACCAUGGUGACUUUCCUCUCUGCAAAGAUUUUCAACCUUAAUCAAUGUUGUGAUGACACCCCAACACCAGUACUUUGGGUUCAUGUUGGCAAGCAGACCAUCAGACAGCCUAACUAGG
Molecule: long non-coding RNA, 788 nt
Filed under: Cricetulus griseus (Chinese hamster)
Lineage: Eukaryota; Metazoa; Chordata; Mammalia; Rodentia; Cricetidae
Description: lncRNA (ENSCGRG00015030349.1)
Source: RNAcentral